Lycium ferocissimum is the source of this 2637-nucleotide RNA transcript. It is a transcript of the gene named protein KINESIN LIGHT CHAIN-RELATED 1, with no coding region annotated. The transcript has 4 exons. The record is from RefSeq and is a predicted model, not a curated record. NCBI's taxonomy places the organism in Eukaryota, Viridiplantae, Streptophyta, Magnoliopsida, Solanales, Solanaceae.
AAAACAUCUGCCCGCAUAAAGCAUGAAGCGAUGAUGGAUUGAACACCCUUGGAGCCAAGGGUUUUGCAGGGUUUAACAGAACCAAUCACUCCAGCACUUUUAGCAUCAUACUAGGUUCCUUCCUUUCCUAAACACCACCAUGAGAAGAGUUUCAUCUUUUGCUUCUCCACAUCUCCAAAAGUAUACCAAAACUUCAUUUUCUCUCAUUUCUAAAGACUUCAUCUCUAGUACUAGCACUAACCCCAUCAAUGCAAAUGAACCAUUAUCCCCUCAAUCAUCAAAUACCCAUCUCAAAUCUUGCAAAAAGACUCAGUCUUUACUCUUUUCCAAUGUCAAAACCCAACAAUCUCAAACUUUCAACACACUUGUUGAGCAAAACCCACCUCAAUUAUCAUCAAGACAAAGAAAGAUUAAAGAAAGAUCACAACUUGAAGAGGCUUUUGAGUCAGCAAAGAGUAUUCAAGAAAUGCUUCAUGUUUUUCAAGAAAUGGAGGCAAGUUUUGAUGAGAGGGAACUUGGUUUGGCAUGUUUGAGAAUUGGUCUUAAACUUGACCAAGCAGGUGAGGAUCCUGAAAAGGCUUUAUCUUUCGCUAAUAGAGCUUUGAAAAUAUUGGAUAGUAAUGAUAAAUUGUCUUUACCUCUUGCUAUGACUUUGCAAUUGUUGGGUUCAACUUGUUAUAGUUUGAAAAGAUUUAAUGACAGUUUAGGAUAUCUUAAUCGAGCUAAUAGGGUUCUUGGUCAAUUAGAAAAGGAUGGUUCUUGUAGUGUUGAGGAUAUUAGGCCUAUUCUUCAUGCUGUUCAGCUUGAAUUGUGUAAUACGAAAACGGCCAUGGGGAGAAGAGAAGAGGCCCUUGCUAAUCUUAGAAAGUCUUUGGAGUUGAAAGAGAUGACUCUUGAAAGAGACAGUAAAGAACUUGGAAAUGCUAAUAGGGAUGUAGCCGAGGCGUAUGUCGCGAUAUUACAUUUUAAAGAAGCUCUACCGUUUUGUUUGAAGGCAUUGGAUAUACACAAGGCACAACUUGGGCAAAACUCUGUAGAGGUUGCACAUGAUAGGAGGCUUCUUGGAGUUAUUUAUACUGGAUUAGAAGAACAUGAGAAGGCAUUGGAACAAAAUCAAUUAUCACAGAGAGUUUUGAAGAAUUGGGGUCUUGAUACUGAUUUGCUUCGUGCUGAGAUCGAUGCAGCCAACAUGCAGAUAGCCUUGGGGAGAUAUGAUGAGGCCAUUAAUACUUUGAGUAGUGUUGUUCAACAGACUGGAAAAGAGAGUGAGGAUAGAGCUAUGGUGUUUAUCUCAAUGGCAAAAGCGUUAUGCAACCAGGAGAAGUCCACGGAUGCAGAGAAGUGCCUUGAAAUUGCAUGUUCAAUCCUUGGAAAGAAAGAAAAAAUUUCCCCUGUUGAGGUUUCCGAGGCAUACAUGGAAAUUUCUAUGUUGUAUGAGACAAUGGAUAAGUUUGAAGCUGCUAUAUCGCUAUUAAAGAGAACACUGUCAUUGCUUGAAAAGCUACCUCAGGAACAACAUUCAGUUGGAAGCGUUUCAGCAAGAGUUGGCUGGUUACUGCUCUUAACUGGUGGGGUCCAGCAUGCUAUUCCUUUCUUGGAGGAUGCAGCUGAAAGGCUGAAAGAAAGCUUUGGAUCAAAACAUUAUGCAGUUGGUUAUGUUUACAAUAAUUUGGGUGCUGCAUAUUUGGAAUUAGAUAGACCACAAUCUGCUGCCCAGGUUUUUGCAUAUGCCAGGGAUAUCAUGGAUGUUUCUCUUGGUCCUCAUCAUACAGAUUCAAUUGAAGCAUGCCAAAACCUUUCAAAAGCAUAUGCUGCCAUGGGGAGCUAUCACCUUGCAAUAAACUUCCAGGAGAAAGCAGUUGAGGCUUGGGAAGGACAUGGUCCAAGUGCAGUAGACGAACUUAAAGAAGCUCAUCGACUUCUUGAGCAACUGAAGAAGAAAGCUUCCGGUGUAUCCGAUGGGAAUGUGAUGAAGGCCUUGCCUUUGGCUAAUUCUAGGGAAGCUGGCUUUAGUAGUACCUCACAAGUUGGUGUUUCAGCCAUUGAGAGGCAAAGAAAUGCAACUAAAAUGCUGAAUCAAUAAAGUUAUGUUACUGCUCUCCAGCAACUGAUUGCAUCCUUCACUUUGCUGGUAUCAUCCAUCUAACUCCCAACAGCCUUCUAAGCAUUCUCCAUAGAUGAGCAAUAGGUACAGAGAAGAAAUAGGUGUUCCGAGUCUUCUUCUGCACUAUUACACAGCUAUCACCUUGCAAUAAACUUCCAGGACAAAGCAAUUGAGGCUUGGGAAGGUCAUGGUCCAAGUGCAGUAGACGAACUUAAAGAAGCUCCUCGACUUCUUGAACAACUGAAGAAGAAAGCUUCUGGCAUAUCCGAUGGGACUAUGAUGAAGGCCUUGCCUUUGGCUAAUGCUAGUGAAGCUAGCUUUAGUAGGACCUAACAAGUUGGUGUUUCAGCCAUUGAGAGGCAAAGAAAUGCAACUAAAAUGCUGAAUCAAUAAAGUUCUGCAUAAUGUUAUUAAUGUGCUCUUUGCCUUUUAGGAAUAAUACCUUUAAUUAGUUUGAUGUAUCCUUUCUUAUAAACCUAUUCUUAUUAGCUUCACUAAAGAUAUUAAAGCUACAAAGAUCAAUCAGUCUGCAA